UACGGAGGGGGCUAGCGUUGUUCGGAAUUACUGGGCGUAAAGGGCUCGUAGGCGGCCAACUAAGUCAGGCGUGAAAUCCCUCGGCUUAACCGGGGAACUGCGUCUGAUACUGGAUGGCUAGAGGUUGGGAGAGGGAUGCGGAAUUCCAGGUGUAGCGGUGAAAUGCGUAGAUAUCUGGAGGAACACCGGUGGCGAAGGCGGCGACCUGGGUAGAUACUGACGCUGAGGCGCGAAAGCGUGGGGAGCAAACAGG
RNAcentral lists this ribosomal RNA (253 nucleotides) under uncultured bacterium. Its description in RNAcentral is "partial 16S ribosomal RNA". It matches the Rfam family "Bacterial small subunit ribosomal RNA", at positions 524 to 776 of the family's 1533-position model. The record is from RNAcentral.